RNAcentral lists this ribosomal RNA (586 nucleotides) under uncultured bacterium. Its description in RNAcentral is "partial 16S ribosomal RNA". It matches the Rfam family "Bacterial small subunit ribosomal RNA", at positions 355 to 1375 of the family's 1533-position model. The record is from RNAcentral.
UGGGGAAUUUUGGACAAUGGGCGAAAGCCUGAUCCAGCAAUGCCGCGUGUGUGAAGAAGGCCUUCGGGUUGUAAAGCACUUUUGUCCGGAAAGAAAUCCUUGGCUCUAAUACAGUCGGGGGAUGACGGUACCGGAAGAAUAAGCACCGGCUAACUACGUGCCAGCAGCCGCGGUUAAUACGUAGGGUGCAAGCGUUAAUCGGAAUUACUGGGCGUAAAGCGUGCGCAGGCGGUUUGCUAAGACCGAUGUGAAAUCCCCGGGCUCAACCUGGGAACUGCAUUGGUGACUGGCAGGCUAGAGUAUGGCAGAGGGGGGUAGAAUUCCACGUGUAGCAGUGAAAUGCGUAGAGAUGUGGAGGAAUACCGAUGGCGAAGGCAGCCCCCUGGGCCAAUACUGACGCUCAUGCACGAAAGCGUGGGGAGCAAACAGGAUUAGAUACCCUGGUAGUCCACGCCCUAAACGAUGUCAACUAGUUGUUGGGGAUUCAUUUCCUUAGUAACGUAGCUAACGCGUGAAGUUGACCGCCUGGGGAGUACGGUCGCAAGAUUAAAACUUAAAGGAAUUGACGGGGUCAUAGCUGUUUCCU